This 1110-nucleotide long non-coding RNA is filed under the name Piliocolobus tephrosceles (Ugandan red Colobus). RNAcentral describes it as "lncRNA (ENSPTEG00000009385.1)". Lineage: Eukaryota; Metazoa; Chordata; Mammalia; Primates; Cercopithecidae. The record is from RNAcentral.
AUGAUAACUAAAAAACUCUUAACUACUUUUAUUAUUUUUUUUGUUUUGUUGUUUAAAACAAGAUCCCAAUACAAUUACCCUCAAAAUGAAAUUUUACAAAUUCAUUCACAGAAUAUUCAAGCUGUGUUAGGGUUAAAUGAGUUCUUAUUAAUUAAAUUUUAUGCACCACAAUGUGAACACUGUAAGCGCAUAUGGAACAAAAUAAUGCAUUUAAAAUAUGAAAUACAAAAUGAUAAUAAAAAGAAAGUAUAUUUUGGUGAAGUAAGUUUAAAAUAAAUAUAACUAAGCAAUAUGAAAGAGUUGUAUAAUUCAACUGUUUAAAAAAAAAAAAAAAAAAAAAAAAAAAAAAACAUACAUAAUACAUAUAUACAUACAUACAUACAUAUAUACAUACAUAUAUACAUACAUACAUACUACAUACAUAUAUACACACACCUAUAAAUAUAUAUAAAUAUAGACGUAUAGAACUAUAUAUAAAAACAGUUACUAUUAGCUAUAUCUACACGUACGUAUAUAUGUGACAUCUUUAUAUAUUAGGUAAAUUGUGCUGAUACAAAUGGACGAAGUAUUUGUGAAGAAUACUCGGUUGUAAAAAUACCACAAUUAAAAAUGUAAGUUAAUAAUUAUGACAAAAUGACACACACAUGUAUAUAAUAUAUAUAUAUAUAUAUAUAUAAUUCAUUACCUACGUACAUAUAAACAAAACACAUUCAUCACAUUUUACUUUUACAGGUUUAAAGGAAACAAAUUAUUAGGAACGUAUUCAAAUGAUAUAAUGAAUGAAAGUCUUAUAAAAAAAUGGAUAUAUUAUGUUACAAUGUAAAUUAGGAAAGAAAAAGAAAAAUUAUUUUAGUUAUUUUUAAUAUUUUUUACAUUACAUAAAAAUAAUUUUUAUGUAAUUAUUUUUUCUGUCCAUAAAAUAGUUUACUAUCGUUUUUUUCUAAAAUUAUACAGUCCUAUAUUUCAUGGAGUGCAUUCAGAAGAAGAAUUAAAUGAAUUUAAAACUGGAGAUAAUUUUUUUCUCACUUGUCUAGAACACCCAAAUGUUAUACAAAAAAAAAAAAAAAAAAAAAUUAAAUAAAAUAAAAUAGAUAAUAAUAAUAAUAAACA